UAAAUUGAGAGUUUGAUCCUGGCUCAGGAUGAACGCUGGCGGCGUGCUUAACACAUGCAAGUCGAGCGAUGAAGUUUCCUUCGGGAAACAGAUUAGCGGCGGACGGGUGAGUAACACGUGGGUAACCUGCCUCAUAGAGUGGAAUAGCCUUCCGAAAGGAAGAUUAAUACCGCAUAACGUUGAAAGAUGGCAUCAUCAUUCAACCAAAGGAGCAAUCCGCUAUGAGAUGGACCCGCGGCGCAUUAGCUAGUUGGUGGGGUAA
RNAcentral lists this ribosomal RNA (262 nucleotides) under Clostridium perfringens. Its description in RNAcentral is "partial 16S ribosomal RNA". It matches the Rfam family "Bacterial small subunit ribosomal RNA", at positions 1 to 260 of the family's 1533-position model. Lineage: Bacteria; Bacillati; Bacillota; Clostridia; Eubacteriales; Clostridiaceae. The record is from RNAcentral.